GUCAGGCGGGGCCACCCGCCGAGUUUAAGCAUAUAAAUAAGCGGAGGAGAAGAAACUUACGAGGAUUCCCCUAGUAACGGCGAGCGAACCGGGAUCAGCCCAGCUUGAGAAUCGGGCGGCGGCGCCGUCCGAAUUGUAGUCUGGAGAAGCGUCCUCAGCGACGGACCGGGCCCAAGUCCCCUGGAAAGGGGCGCCGGGGAGGGUGAGAGCCCCGUCCG
Molecule: ribosomal RNA, 218 nt
Filed under: Heliconia darienensis
Lineage: Eukaryota; Viridiplantae; Streptophyta; Magnoliopsida; Zingiberales; Heliconiaceae
Also listed under: 1 other name
Description: partial 26S ribosomal RNA
Rfam family: Eukaryotic large subunit ribosomal RNA
Source: RNAcentral